UCACACUCACACUCACACUCACACUCACAUUCGCGCUCGCUCUGGCUCUCAAAAUCGAAAUCGAUUCAGAUCGGUGAGUGUUCAUCAGAGCCAUUUCAAAGUUCAAAGUUCAUCAGAGCCAUUUCCAAGAUCUUACAUCGGUGAUUCAUCAGAGCCAUUUCGAAGCUCUCUCUCAAAAUCGAUUCAGAUCGGUGAGCGACUCUCUCUCUCUCUGCUGUCUAAACCCUAAUUAUCUCUGUCAGUUCAGCUCUGUAAUUUAGAGAUUCAGCUCGGUCUCAGCGAAACAGAUCGAUGAUUCAUCAGAGCCAUUUCAGUUCUCUCUCGAAAUCGAAUUUCAUCUCAGCGAUUCAGAUUGUCUUUCUACCACAUCACGUAGCGGUAGCACAUCACAUGGCUCUGUUUCAGCUGGUCCUAGCUCAAGUCAAGCCACACAAAAGCAGACAAGGGGUCCCACAUAUAUGCAUGGUCAAUGGGGUACUAGUGAAGAUGGCGUUUUAAAAGUUGUUUAAAAUGAGUUGAAUCAAGUAGUUGAAGGAUACACAUCUCUUGCUUCACAUUUGGACGUUUUGGCACGAGAUGGGAGUCUUGCACCACUUACUUUUACGACUUGGCAUUAUGUCCCAAAACAAAACAAAGAUAACAUAUGGAGGGAGAUAAAGGUGGCAGCUCAACUGGUUAAUUUUUCGAACUAAAAAGCCUAUCAGUGUUCCCUAUCAAAAAGA
This is a non-coding RNA of Camellia sinensis, 722 nucleotides long. The record is from RefSeq and is a predicted model, not a curated record. Lineage: Eukaryota; Viridiplantae; Streptophyta; Magnoliopsida; Ericales; Theaceae.